Non-coding RNA from Picea glauca (white spruce), 116 nucleotides. NCBI's taxonomy places the organism in Eukaryota, Viridiplantae, Streptophyta, Pinopsida, Pinales, Pinaceae. The record is from Rfam.
GUGUACGCCUACAUCAUUAAUGCAGUGAAUCCAAUCACAACUCCACAGUUAAACAAACUUGGGCUAGAGUAGUAUUGGGAUGGUUAACCUCCUGGGAAGUCCUAUUAUUUUACAUG